RNAcentral lists this ribosomal RNA (578 nucleotides) under Naganishia diffluens. Its description in RNAcentral is "partial large subunit ribosomal RNA". It matches the Rfam family "Eukaryotic large subunit ribosomal RNA", at positions 57 to 618 of the family's 3401-position model. The record is from RNAcentral. Lineage: Eukaryota; Fungi; Basidiomycota; Tremellomycetes; Filobasidiales; Filobasidiaceae.
AAAAGAAACUAACAAGGAUUCCCCUAGUAACGGCGAGUGAAGCGGGAAGAGCUCAAAUUUGAAAUCUGGUAGCCUUCGGUUGCCCGAGUUGUAAUCUAGAGAAGUGUUUUCCGUGCCGGCCCAUGUACAAGUCCCUUGGAACAGGGCGUCAUAGAGGGUGAGAAUCCCGUCCUUGACAUGGACCCCCGGUGCUUUGUGAUACACUUUCAACGAGUCGAGUUGUUUGGGAAUGCAGCUCAAAAUGGGUGGUGAAUUCCAUCUAAAGCUAAAUAUUGGCGAGAGACCGAUAGCGAACAAGUACCGUGAGGGAAAGAUGAAAAGCACUUUGGAAAGAGAGUUAAACAGUACGUGAAAUUGUUGAAAGGGAAACGAUUGAAGUCAGUCAUGCUCUUAGGAUUCAGCCGUUCUGCGGUGUAUUUCCUUUGAGUGGGGUCAACAUCAGUUUUGAUCGAUGGAUAAAGGCACGAGGAAGGUAGCACUCUCGGGUGAACUUAUAGCCUCGCGUCAUAUACAUUGAUUGGGACUGAGGAACGCAGCAUGCCUUUAUGGCCGGGAUUCGUCCACGUACAUGCUUAGGA